GAGCUCACUUCACAGCACGUAUACUAAAACUAGAACAAUACAGAGAAGAUUAGCAUUGGCCCUGCAAUUACAUGCAAAUUAUUACAUAUGAUUUACAUUACA
Molecule: small nuclear RNA, 102 nt
Organism: Sarcophilus harrisii (Tasmanian devil)
Lineage: Eukaryota; Metazoa; Chordata; Mammalia; Dasyuromorphia; Dasyuridae
Source: Ensembl